GAUAGAAAACGAAAAUUCACUCAUAGUGAACCUCGGCCUGCAUUUGUGAAACGGCAAAGACUCACUAUUAUCAAGGAAAUUGAAGAGACAACUAAAAAUGAGAUGUGUCGUAUUAUUAUACCUUUUCCAUCUUGUAGUCAAGAUGUCCAGCCACUUGAAAAUAGGUGUAGUAAUGACAAAGCUAUCCAAGUAGCUCCAGCACAGGAACACAAAGGCAAGGCAAGUGUGUAUUGCCACAUCACCCCUUAAUAUAUCUGAAGCAAAUAUAAGUAAACAAUCAGAACCAGCAAAAAAAAAACUGUUGUUCCUGAGGACAAAUUUGACAGUGAUGAGUCAAAUGCACCAGCAACAGAAGGAUCAACUGUUGACUAUGAGUUAUCUCUCUAUAUCUCCACUCCAUCAAAGACUUGUGCACUUCAGACUAUAGUUCUCAAGAAGACUAAAAAGUUGAAAAAAUGAAUGUGUUAACAACUUUAUCUAAAGUGAAAAAUAAACAACGUUUAUAUAUUGGUCUUCCACAAGAAUUAUGUUUCAUAAUAGGCUUGAUUGAGAAACAUACAAAUGUUUCUGAACAAAAUAUUAUAUUAUGUCUGAUGAGAAUAACAUUAAAUAGAACAUUCUCUCAAUUGGCUGAUGAUUUCGAUUUAUCUGUAAGUCAAGCAAGCAAUAUAUUUUUCAACAAACUCCCAGAAAUUGCAAAUGUAAUAUCACCCCUUGUUAGACUAUAAAAAAAACAAUACAAUAAAUAUAUAUGCAGGAAGGAUAAUUGAUGUCAACUUGGUGGAAAAUAGAAAGUUUUUAGAUAGUUUGCCACCUACAAAACUCUUUAAUUAAAUAAGUAAUCCUUACUUAUAAAUAGGAAGUUUUGUAAGUAUUUUCACUCUUCAUUCAAAAACUACUGAACAGAUUUUAAUAAGACUUUUAUGCUGGUCUUCUAUGGCUAGCAACUCAUUAUUAUUUUGAUUCUGUUUUCCACAAAUGUGCUAAAUAUGGGCUUAUAUAUAUGAAAAGGAAUAAAUAUUAAUGUUAUGUAACCUUUGUACCUGUAUGUUAAGAAUAAUUUUUAAUAAAACAUACUUAAUUUAAAUUGAAA
Molecule: long non-coding RNA, 1093 nt
Organism: Bombyx mori (domestic silkworm)
Lineage: Eukaryota; Metazoa; Arthropoda; Insecta; Lepidoptera; Bombycidae
Exons: 2
Source: RefSeq, a predicted model, not a curated record